UCUCCAGCAUCUGCUUCUUCAAUCAUCCAUUUUCUUUCAUUUGAAAAGAGAUCAGCCGAAAUUCUCAAGAUAAAAAAAAAAAAGCUGACCUAAAAGGAACAGAAAAGCUGGCAGCACUGUUCUUCACGAGAAUUAAAAGCACCGCAAUACACAAAAACCCGACCCCCCUUGGCUUCGUCCUUUCUACGUCGACUGAAAUAGCGCCAUUGACGACCAUAAAACGACGUCACUCCUUCACCUCCAUUAAGCUCUAUCCCGUCAGUGAAAGCGAGGUUCGGCGAAGUUGACAUGUUCCAUUCGAGGCUUUCGAUUGUUGGUCUGGUCAGCAGUAGCUCAGUCUAUUUUUGUGAAGGUUUGUUUUGAGAUCUAUUUCUUUCAAUUUUGUUUUUGUUUGUUCUAUUACUAUGUAUAUGAAUACAUACCUUUUUUUGCUUUUCUUUUGAAGUUUAUAAAAAUGAAGUACGUUCUCUUACUGCUUGUUUUGCUUUCAUUUAGUUAACGAGCUUCAUUAUUGGCUUAGCUAAUAAAUUGCCUACUCAUGUGAUUGCACUGUUUUAUCUUUAAAAAAUAUAUUAUUACAUAUUAGUUUUUAUGUUUGGUGAAUUGGCCGUAAAAGAUGUGUGUUCCUUUUUGUUUGUCACAACUUAGAUUCUUAUACUACAGUGAGCGAAUGGGAUGAGUAGAAUCUUUCUGGCUUAUAUGUGAUUUCAAACAAAUGAUAGAGAUAAAAAAGUUAUGCAGCUAUAAUUACACAAAGCUUUAAGAAUGUAUAAACUUAUUGUUGCUUUACUACUGUUUCUUUGUCGACCCGUGAUAAUUUCAAUGGAUGAAUCAUGUUUACAAGUAUGUUUUUUGUUUAUUGUGAUUUACUUCACCGUGAUUGAGAAAUGAAGCCAUUGAUUCUUAUUUACCACAUUUGAGACUGAGCUGUGUGUGAAACAUAUGAAAAUGAGUAGUUGCUUUAGGCGUGCUAUCUUAAAAUUACCUUCCUAAACUCGGGUGCGCAUUUAUGUGACCCAAAUUUAAAUCUCAACAACGUUGGAUAAAAUGUGUCGGGGACCGCGGGUGCAUUUAUGUGACGUGGUUCAAGAUGUAUUUUAUGUGACGUUGCAAUCUUCCUUAAAAAUGAAUAAAAACGGUUAAUUAGUUAAAAUUGUAUCGUAGGAUAAAACAUGUACUAAAAUCACAUAAUAGGUCAAUUAUAACAGUUGAGUGACCGUGCUAGAACCACGGAACUCGGGAAUGCCUAACACCUUCUCCCGGGUUAACAAAAUUCUUACCCGGAUUUUUGUGUUUGCGGACUGUGAAACAGAGUCAAUCUUUUCCUCAAUUCGGGAUUUGAACCGGUGACUUGGGACACCAUAAAUCAUCCCGAGUGGCGACUUUGAAUUUAAUAAAUAAAUAAUCCCGUUUCAAUUGUCACUUUAAGUUGGAAAAAACUCCCUUAUACACUCUUUUCCCGGGGGUGUAGGCAAAAAGGAGGUGUGACAGGCAUUCGUCAAAUUUUGGUAGCAAAUUAUGGAUUUCGGUCUGGUAUUUCUGUAGCCUCUGCUCCUUGAUCUGGAAAGUCCUAGUAACUUGGUUUACGACAAGUUAAGAGUCGCAGCGGAGGAUGACUCGUCGUGUACCAUAUUUUAGGGCUAAUUUUAGUCAUGCAAUUACGACCUCAUACUCAGCCUCAUUGUUAGUCAUUUCAGGGCACCGUAUGGAUCGACGAAUCACUUCGCCCGUCGGGACUUCGAGUACGAGUCCCAAUCCAGAUCCUGACGCAUUGGAUGUGUCGUUGGUGUAGAGGACCCAACGAUUGGGUCGCCUAGAGGAAGUGCAAAGCACUUCUUGCUCGACCUCGGACAGUAUUUCUGCACUGAAGUCAACGACGAAGUCGGUGAGUACUUGCGAUUUUAUCGCAGUUCGCGAUUGAUAUGUUAUAUUGCACUCGCUCAAUUCUAUGGCCUAUUUGGCCAAUCUACCCGAUAGCUCAGGUUUGUGCAGGAUGCUGAUGAGGGGAAAAGUCGUCACCACCUUUAUGGGGUGACACUAAAAAUAUGGUCUAAGCUUACGUGAAGCUACGACCAACGCCAGAGCCAAUUUUUCAAGGUGGGGAUACCUCUUUUUGGCGUCAACUAAAGUUUUGAUGAUAUAGUAAAUCAGAGAUUGCGUACCUUUGCUUUUGCAAACCAAAAUCGCGCUUACCGCGACUUCAAACACGACUAGAUAGACAAGGAGGCAUUCGUCUGGAUCUGCCUUAUCGAGUAAUGGUGGCGAGGACAAGUAGGUUUUCAGUUUUCUCAGGGCGUCGACACACUCCAAAUUCCACUGGAGCCCAUUAUCUUUCUUUAGCACACUGAAAAAUUUAUGACACCUGUCUGAUGAUUGUGAGAUGAACCUCGACAGGGAGGCAAUCUGACCUGUCAGUUUUUGUACCUGUUGUUUUGCUGGUUAACAUUUCCUGUAUUCCUUCGAUGGCCUUAAUCUGAUCUGGGUUGACCUCGAUACCUCUUUGCGAUACUAGGAAAUCAAGGAAUUAUACUGAGGUUACGCCGAAGGUGCAUUUUUCGGGGUUUAGUUUCAUACCGUACUGCCUUAAUAUGUCGAAGGCUUCCUUCAGAUGGUCGAUAUGAUCUUCUUUCCUUUUAGACUUAACCAGCAUGUCAUCGAUGUAGACUUCGAUUAUUUUGUUGAGUUGAUCUUUAAACAUCUUGGUGACCAGUCUCUGGUACGUCGCCCCUGCAUUCUUUAAUCCGAAUGGCAUGACCUUAUAAUAGUACGUUCCUUGGUGAGUGAUGAAGUGGUUUUCUCCUGGUCUUCUUCCUCCAUGAGGAUCUUGUUGUACCCCGAAUAGGCAUCUAAGAAUCUUAGAUGCUCGUGUCCUACUGUUGCGUCGAUGAGCUGGUCGAUGUGUGGCAAUGGAAAGGAGUCUUUUGGGCAUGCCUUGUUUAGGUUAUUGAAAUCUACACACAUCCGCCACUUUCCGUUUUUCUUCUUCACCAUGACCAUAUUGGCGACCCACUGGGGAUAUUUUGACUCUCGGACGGAGCCAUUUGCUAGCAACUUAUCGACUUCUUCGCUGACAGCUUCGUUGCUUGCGGCAUUGAACUUCCUCCGUAUUUGCCGCACUGGCGGGUUGAGGGGGUCAACAUUCAGUUUGUGCAUGGCGAUGUCUUUCGGGAUACCUGGCAUAUCUGUAUGGGAGAAGGCAAAUAGAUCAGCAUUGUCAGUUAAGAAUUUAUGAAACUUACCUGGUUUCGAGAGGUUGUGCCCGAUAUAAGCCUUUUUGUGUUGUUAUUGUUGUCUAGUAGGAUGGGAUCGAGAUCCUCUAUUAUCAAAUUGGACGCUUCCACAAUGUCGGGGUCCUUGUCCGUACGUCAAGUUUGGUUCUCGACAUCGUUGAUUGCUAUGCUUCUUCACUUGCCCUUUUUAGUUGUUGGGUGUGUACGCAAUCCUGGGCGAUGCGAUAGCAUUCCUGUGCGNNNNNNNNNNNNNNNNNNNNNNNNNNNNNNNNNNNNNNNNNNNNNNNNNNNNNNNNNNNNNNNNNNNNNNNNNNNNNNNNNNNNNNNNNNNNNNNNNNNNNNNNNNNNNNNNNNNNNNNNNNNNNNNNNNNNNNNNNNNNNNNNNNNNNNNNNNNNNNNNNNNNNNNNNNNNNNNNNNNNNNNNNNNNNNNNNNNNNNNNNNNNNNNNNNNNNNNNNNNNNNNNNNNNNNNNNNNNNNNNNNNNNNNNNNNNNNNNNNNNNNNNNNNNNNNNNNNNNNNNNNNNNNNNNNNNNNNNNNNNNNNNNNNNNNNNNNNNNNNNNNNNNNNNNNNNNNNNNNNNNNNNNNNNNNNNNNNNNNNNNNNNNNNNNNNNNNNNNNNNNNNNNNNNNNNNNNNNNNNNNNNNNNNNNNNNNNNNNNNNNNNNNNNNNNNNNNNNNNNNNNNNNNNNNNNNNNNNNNNNNNNNNNNNNNNNNNNNNNNNNNNNNNNNNNNNNNNNNNNNNNNNNNNNNNNNNNNNNNNNNNNNNNNNNNNNNNNNNNNNNNNNNNNNNNNNNNNNNNNNNNNNNNNNNNNNNNNNNNNNNNNNNNNNNNNNNNNNNNNNNNNNNNNNNNNNNNNNNNNNNNNNNNNNNNNNNNNNNNNNNNNNNNNNNNNNNNNNNNNNNNNNNNNNNNNNNNNNNNNNNNNNNNNNNNNNNNNNNNNNNNNNNNNNNNNNNNNNNNNNNNNNNNNNNNNNNNNNNNNNNNNNNNNNNNNNNNNNNNNNNNNNNNNNNNNNNNNNNNNNNNNNNNNNNNNNNNNNNNNNNNNNNNNNNNNNNNNNNNNNNNNNNNNNNNNNNNNNNNNGCGGUACGUUGUUCGCCCCGGAUGCUGAAUACCCCCCAUGGGGUAGGAAACUUGAUUACUUGAUAGAAACUGGAUGGGACUGCUCGCAUGGUGUGUAUCCAUGGGUGCCCUAUGAUAGUGUUGUAGGAUGUAUCUUGGUCCAUGAUGUGAAACGUCAUUUCUAAGGUGACUCCUCCGGAUAGGAUGGGUAGCACUAUCUCUCCAGAAGUCUGCUCGACUGUAUUAUUAAAACCUGUUAGCGUUAUGUAAUGCGGUAUUAUUUUAUCUUCGAGUCUCAUCUGUACGAGGACUUGAGGAUGGAUAAUAAAUGCGUCACUCCCGUUAUCUACCAUUAUUCUUUUUACAUCGGUAUCUACAAUACGUAAAGUGAUAACAAGAGCAUCGUAGUGAGGGUAAGGCAAACCGUCGGUAUCUGACUUAUCGAAGACAAUACUACUAUCUUCGAGGUCAUCAUAUUGUUCAUGAGUGAUCGACCGUUUAAGUUUAUGUGUGGUGGUGAACUUUACAUGAUUGAUUGUUGUGUCAUCGCCCCCGAUGAUGAUCAUCUGUAUAGUGCUAGAAGGAGAAGGCGGUUUUGGAGGUACUUAGGGUUGUUAGCGUCCGCAAGCAAAUUUAUCCCGUUCUUGAUCGCUCAACAAUUCUUUUAGGUGUCCCUGAUUUAGCAUUCUCACUACCUCCUGCCGCAAUCCAAUGCAAUCUUCGGUUUUGUGACCCCUUUCCUGGUGGAAUUCGCAGAGAGCAUUCGACUUCUGAGUGAUUGGGCCGGACUUCAUCUUUUGCGGCCAUUGCACCUUUGUACCGAGUUUCUCUAGUGCGUACACUAUUUCAGAAGGAGAGACACAAAUAUUGUGAGAAGAUAGGAGAGAAGGCAUACCUUUCUCGUGGUGAUUUGGCGUUGCAUGUCGAGAAGGAGCAUCUGUGUGCCGCGGAGGAGGUAGGAUAGAUAUCCUGAUGUAGGGCUAAUGCCUUUCUCGACCGAGAUGGGAUCCCGACUGAUCUCUUCGACCAUUGCUGCGACGAUCUUUCCUUGCUUUAGUUUGAACUGACGUCAACCGUUGGAUCGGACCAUUGAGGUAGUACUUAUCGGCUCUUACCUCGGCGCAGUAGGCGUUAUGGAUUUCUUACCAAGUGGUUGGAGGGUAUUUCAUGAGCCUGCUUAACAAUUUUCUGGUCGCUCUUGACCCAUUCUUGUUUAGUCCAUUCUAGAAGGCUGCUACCGCCAUUCCCUCUGACACAUUUGGCAAGCUCAUUCUUACCCUGUUGAACCGAGCUAAGAAGUCCCUAAGUCCCUUGUCGUUCAUCUGCCUAACGGAAAAUAUGUCAUUUACUCUGGCUUCUGCCUUUUUGGCCCCUGCAUGGGAGGUGACAAACUUGUCUGCCAUUUCUUCGAACAUUGCUAUCGAACGUGCCGGUAGUUGGGAGUACCAGGUCAGGGCUCCCCCUGUUAGGGUUUUACCGAACUUUUUCAGUAGCACUGAUGGUACUUGUUCUUUCGAAAGAUCGUUACCUUUUAUGGCCGUGACGUAGUGGAUGAUAUGAUCUUCUGGAUCGGUAGUACCGUCAUAUAUCUUCAGGUAUGGUGGCAUUUUGAAGGUCUUUGGAAUGGCGUAGAGGGACACUUCUUCAUUGUAUGGUUGCUCGAUGAAUCGACCAACGUCCCGUUUUGGCAACAACUUUGGGGUGCCUGGUAUUUUGUCAACCCUCUCUUGGUGUUCCUUCAUCUAGUCACGGAGUGCCUUAUUCUCAUUUUCCAUCUCCUCCAUUUUCUUUAAAAUGGUUGCAAGCGUGUCAUUACCUGCGUCAAAUAGAAGUAUGAGUGUUACCUGUACGAGGGACAUCUCGCUCAUCAGCGAUCGUCGUGACAUCUACAUAUGCAAUAUCUCUGUUAUCCCGUUGGGCGGGUUUAUCGAGUAUGUUGUUCAGAGUGCUUGUUAUCCAUUCUUCCAGUAGUCUGCUCACUGCUGGUGGUGCCUCUCCUGUUGUAGAUGUGGAGGCUUCCUUCUCGCGCGAAGCAGUUACGCUUUCAUGCAAGGGAGGUGAAGCAUCUCCCAUGGGUGUGGUGUUUGGUGUCCCGUUUUCGUUAUCUUCUCUGUUGUCUUCAUUGAUGGUGUUCAGGAUGUUGGUUGUGACACCUACUAUUGAUUUUAGCUUUGUAUCUCCUUUCCUUACCAUUGUUAGUUUGUGCAAAGGUUUAAGAACAAAGGUGAUAUCCAAAGUUGUAAUAACUAUAGGAGUAUCAAAUUACUGAGUCAUACCAUGAAAGUAUGGGAGAGGGUGGUUGAAGUGAGGGUGAGGAUGACAGUGUAUGUAUCCGACAACCAGUUCGGGUUCAUACAGGGUCUCUCCACCACAGAAUCUAUACACCUGGUAAGGAGGUUGGUGGAACUAUACAAAGAGAGAAAGAAGGAUCUGCACAUGGUGUUUAUUGACCUAGAGAAAGCGUAUGAUAAGGUUCCUAGAGAAGUUCUAUGGAGAUGCUUGGAAGCGAAAAGUGUAUCGGUUCCUUAUAUUAUGGCAAUUAAGGACAUAUAUGAUGGAGCUAAGACUCGGGUUAGGACAGUAGGAGGAAAUGCUGAGCAUUUUUCGGUUGAAAUACGGUUACACCAAGGCUCUACGCUCAGUCCGUUCUUAUUCGCCCUGGUGAUGGAUGCGAUAACAAACCAUAUUCAAGGGGAGGUGCCAUGGUGCAUGCUAUUCGCCGAUGACAUAGUUCUGAUUGAUGAGUCACGAGCUGGUGUUAACGAGAGAUUGGAAGUCUGGAGACAAACUCUUGAGUCUAAGGGUUUCAAGCUAAGCAGAACGAAGAUGUGGAUGUGAGGCUUGAGUCACAAGUUAUCCCAAGUAGAGGCAGCUUCAAAUACCUUGGUUCGAUUAUCCACGAGGGAGGGGAGAUCAACGAGGAUGUCUCACACCGUAUUGGGGUAGGAUGGAUGAAGUGGAGGUUAGCAUCUAGAGUUUUGUGUGACAAUAGAGUGCCAACGAUACUUAAAGGUAAGUUCUAUAAAGUGGUGGUUAGACCGGCCAUGAUGUAUGGGGCUGGGUGUUGGCCAGUUAAGAACUCACAUAUCCAAAAGAUGAAAGUAGCAGAAAUGAGGAUGUUGAGGUGGAUGUGCGGGCACACUAGGAUGGAGAAGAUUAGGAAUGAUGAUAUUCGAGGGAAGGUGUAUGUGGCUCCCAUUGACGACAAGAUGCGGGAAGCGAGGCUCAGAUGGUUCGGGUAUGUACAGAGGAGAAGCCCAGAUGCUCUAGUAAGGAGGUGUGAGCGGAUGGUUGUAGAAGGCACGAGAAUAGGUAGAGGGCGGACUAAGAAGUAUUGAGGAGAGGUGAUCAGGCAGGAUAUGGCGAGGCUUCAGAUUUUCGAGGACAUGACACAUGAUAGGAAGUUGUGGAGGUCGAAUAUUACGGUUGUAGGCUAGGAGGUAGUUGAGUCUUGCGUUACUUUGUACCUUUGUGAGCCUAGUAUGGUAGGGUUUUGUCUAAGAAAGCUAGGGGCAAUGUCGUGUCUUACUAUUUUCUAUUUUUCUAUUUUUCGACGCAGGAUCCAUUUACUAGCCAUCGUUUUUACUUUGCACUUUUCUGCAUUUUAUGUUCCUAUGUUUCCUAUGAUCUCCGUGGUGAAUCUAAUAUUCUCUCCUUUUGUCUUUUUAUUAUCUUGAGCCGAGGGUCUUUCGGAAAUAGCCUCUUUACCCCUUCAAGGUAGGGGUAAGGUCUGCGUACACACUACCCUCCCCAAACCCCACUUGUGGGAUUUUACUGGGUUAUUGUUGUUGUUGUUGUUGUUAGUUUGUGCAAAGCUAGGAAGAGAUGACUAUCCCUUUCUAUGAUCUAGAUGAAACUGAAAUCUAAACUAAAGAAAUCCCCACAGACGGUGCCAAAUUGUUUGACCAAAAGAUUUCAAAACCCUUUUGAUUAAAAUAAUUAAUAAUAAUAAUGAGGUCAAUCUUAGUCAAGCACAAUAAAAUCUAGAUCAAGUGAUGGAAGGAGUUUAGCAAGAUGAACGGUGUAACAAAUAUGUUGAAAUCAAAUAAAUGCUCAUAAAUGUGAAAGACUUAAAUGUGCAAUGAAACCUUAAUUGAUGAAAUCGAUGUAGGGGGAGGAUAAGUAUAAGAUGAUUGCGGAAUCUUAGGAUUUUCUCAUAUGAACAAGACUGUUUUCGCAUUCACUCUGAGAUAAUACUUUUACAAAGUGUUCUUUUGUCCUCUUUCUCCCGUGUCCUCAUUUCUUCACUCACUCUUCCUAUUUAUAAGGCACAAUCUCCCAAGAAACCCUAAAAAGUACAACAUUGAGAAUGUUCGAAAGGUAUAUUCUUACUGUCUCCUACUAAGUUUACAUUAUAGUGGACGUCACACGCCGACUGACCGCCUUUGGUUGUUGUCUUUCGCCACGACGACCAUCAGACAAUGCAUCAUAGUAACUUCGUUCCCCGUCCUACUCGGUAAUGGUUAUGGUUGCCAAAUUUGGACCCAUACAGGGGGUUCACAAACGACUUCUUGUUCUUUCUAAAAUGAAAAAACAUUUUGAAAACAAGUUUUUACCAACCAAAAAAUAAAAGCUUUCUUUGCGAAAACACUAAUUUGUCUCUUAAUUGGUUAUACAGCGUAAAUUAUUUUGAUAUUGAAGUUGUCUUUUUGGAUGAGUAGAUACUAAAUAAAUAGUAGCAUUUAUUUUAAAAUAGAGUGAUCUUACUAGUACGAUUACCAUUUUCAUUUGAGGAAAUGAUCUGCUAUAAUCGGUUAUAAUUUGAAAGAAGAAAAUGUCUCUAUAAAAAUCUCAUGUGUAUUAUUUACUAAUAUCCUAUAUUGUAUUUUAUUUAUUUUCUAUGCAAAAUAAUUAUAUUAUAAAAAUAAAAAUUUGUAUUGAAUCAUAAGAUCGAUCUAGCAAUCUCCACAUUUGGGGAAAGGGUGCAAGGUUUGCAGCAGUGCUGAUUAACCAAGAAGAAUUUAUUUAAAUAGCCGCCUACCUAAUCUCUUAAUCUAAGAAUAGCCAGCGAAUAUAUAUAUAAUUAUAUGUAAUCAAUGUAUAAUGUAUAUAUACCUGCUAGAAAAACUAAUCAUUAAAUUAGGCCGGCUACUUGGGUAACAUAGCAUUAAUAUCUUGGACUUGAGCUUUGCUGAAAAACUGAAGUAACUGAAGCCCAGGCCCAAAACCUAGACUCUAAUUUGCCGUUAUUAAUGAGUUUACUAAAAUUACUUCUUUUAUUUGUGUAGACAAUUAUUUAUUAGAUCUACUGGUCUUUAGUGUGUCCCAUAUCAACAUGUACAAACUUUCUAAAAUGAUAUAGAUAAUAUUAAAACACAUAAGUAAUGAGUAAUUAAAAGUUUGAAAAUAAAGUAUAAGUUGAAUCGACUAAAUUAAAUAUAACCUUUUUUUUAUGUAGCUCUUAUCAAAUAUUCAUUAAUUUUUUACCAAAUAAUAUGGAUAAAAAAUUAUUUAGCAAUUCAAGUGAGAAACAUUUUUUUUUUGUCAGAAUAUGUUAUUCAUUUGUUAAUCUGUUGAAUAAGCAUCGAUAAAUCAGUUCUUUUGUAUUAUAUGCAAUAAUAAAUUAUAUUAUUCCUAUUUAACAUGAGUUAUAUUAUUACACCAUCUUUGUCACAACCCAAUUUCUCCUUCCGUGAACUGUUGUGACGGCACCUAGUCUCUACGACUAGGUAAGCCUAAUAUUGCGGAAAUGAAAUGAAAAUACAAAGAUAACAACUAAUGGAUAUUGUUAAUAAGCAGAAACGGUGCCACUCGGCAUAUACAAUAAUCAUUUUUCCAAAACCUGGUAUAUCGCAAGUCACAAGCUACUAAGAAAUCUUAACUGUUCUAUACCUCAUUUCUACAGAAAAAAGGGAAAUGAACAUAGGGGAUAGAGGGGGACUCCGAGGAUCUGCGGGCGCGGGUAUAUGUACCUUGAAGUAUCCAAUAAGCAACCGCGACUGUAACUAGUGGUGAGGCUGGUAAGAUGAACAUGGAUCCGCACACGAAAAACAUGUGCAGGAAAGGACAUGAGUACACUACAACGGUACCCAGUUAAUGCCAAGGCUAACCUCGGUCGAGUAGUGACGAGAUUAGGUCAGGGCCCUACUAGUAUAAAUAUAAUGAAAUAAGACAGAAUGAAAUUUCAUAGUAAAAAUAAAUACGGAAAUCUAACAGGAAUAGAAUCAAUGAAAGACAACAACUCAGAACACAGUGAUAACAACAGGGUCGUUACAUCCUCUCCCUCUUAAAACAAUAACUUAGAACAUAGUGAUCAACCGGUAUAACUCUCAAAACGAGCGGUCGGGUCGUUAUAUCCUCCCCCUCUUAAAACAAUCGUUCGAACUUGAACGAGCAUAGAGACAUACCUGAAGUAGUAAAAAGAUGAGGAUAACGGCUGUGCAUAUCAUGCUCGGUCUCCCAAGUCGCCUCCUCGACUAGCUGAUCCCACAACUAAACCUUUACUAAUGUAAUGUUUUUUUACCUCAGCUUUCAAACUUGCCUGUCCAAGAUAGCCACUGGCUUCUCAACAUAAUAUAGAUCUUUGUCCAAUUGGACUGAGCUGAAAUCCAACACUGGAGACAGAUUACCGUGAUACCUCAGGGAGCAUCGAAAUGUGAAAUACCGGAUGAAUAUAGGAUGGUCGUACUUCUUGUACCUCUCGAGCCUCUACUAUUCCUCCUCUAAAAUUGUUGCCCUACCCUCGGGCUGAGCUGGGGCUACAUGCGGUAUCGGUAUAACCUUUGGUAUCUGAUCAACUUGAACUCACUGCUCUAGGAUGCAGGCGACGGGAGUCUGUGCUCCUCUCCCGCCCUGAAAUGUGGCUGCAGCAAAGGGAAUCAACCCUGCCUGAGCUAGAGUGUUAUACAUGCUCAUGAACUGUGCAAGGGUCUCUUGAUGAGCUGGAGUAGUAAUAGUAGGCGUCUCAGGUGCAUGUGCUUCGACUGGAGUUAUUAGUGGCUCUUCUGUAGUAGCUCGCUCGUGUGCUUUGGCUGCACAACGUGUGCAUCCUCAGCCUCUACCCCGGCCUCGGGCGGCUCUAACAGGGGGCGCGGGUGCCUGGUUGUAUCCAGUUGCACGUGUCCUCACCAUCUGUGAGAGAAUAGAAGACAGAAAUUUAGAAUUUCAAAGUCAAUAAUCUCGCACGACAAGGAAUCAAAUGAAGUGGAAUUUUUCUAAUAGUUCCAUAGCCUCCCGAAGAUAAGUACAGAAGUCUGUGUACCGAUCCGUGAGACUUUAAUAAACUUGCUUGUGACUCACGACUCCUAUGAACCUAGAGCUCUGAUACCAACUUGUCACAAUCCAAUUUUUUCCUUCGUGAACUGUCGUGACGGCACCUAAUUUCUACAACUAGGUAAGCCUAAUAUUACGGAAAUUAAAUGAAAACACAAAGAUAACAGCUAACAGAUAUUGUUAAUAAGAAGAAACGGUGCCACUCGGCAUACACAAUAAUCAUUUUCCCAAUCCGGAAUAUCGCAAGUCACAAGCUACUAAGAAAUCUUAACUUUUCUAUACAUCAUUUCUGCAGAAAAGAAGGGAAAUAAACAAGGGGGACAGAGGGGGACUCCGGGGACCGGCGGGCGCGGACAGAUGUACCUUGAAGUCUCCAAUAAUCAACCGCGACUGCAACUAGUGGUGAGGCUAGUAAGAUGAACCUGGAUCUGCACACGAAAAAUAUGUGCAGGAAAGGGCAUGAGUACACCACAACGGUACCCCAGUAAGUGCCAAGCCUAACCUCGGUCGAGUAGUGACGAGAUCAGAUCAGGGCCCUACUGUUAUAAAUAUAAUGAAAUAAGACAUAAUAAAAUAUCAUAGUAAAAAUAAAUAUGGAAAUCUAACAGGAAUAGAAUCAAUGAAAGACAACAACUCAGGACACAUUGAUAACAACAGGGGUUCUCCUAGGAUACCGUCCCGUAGUCCCAAACGUAAAUGUACAGGGGGAUCUCCCGGAAUGCCGUUCCGUAGUCUCAAAGUAAAUAUACAGUACAAGGGGAUCUCCCAGAAUACCGCUCCGUAGUUCCAAAGUAAAUAUGCAGCUCAAUCAACAGAAAUAAUAUUUAUAGCAAGGAAAAUUACAGUUUAGACUGAGUGCAAAUCAAGGGGAGUAGGAAAGUUUCACUAAACAUGCUGCACAGAGUUCAAAUAGGUAGUUAAAACACGUAGGCAUGCUAUUCUAACUUAAAAGGAUAGUUCAUAUGCUAUUGUAGCUCAAAUAAGGAGAAAACAUGUUAUGACUUAAUGAAAAACGAAGUUUUACAUCAAAUAGCCCGUGUACGUACUCAUCACUUCACGUACAUGGCGCUCACAUAUCAAAACAGUACCAAAUCAUAAGAGGAGUUUCCCUACACAAGGUUAAGCAAACCACUUACCUCGAACCAAGCUCAAAUCAAUCUGUCACAAUGCUCUUUCCACGAAUAUCUGAAUCUGAAUGGCUAAAAUCUAGCCAAAACCAAUUACAUAAGAUAAAUAUAACUACAAGAAACUAAUCUAGCUAACGAAAUCAAAGCUAAGGCAAGAAAUUAGAAAAACGCCCAAAAAGCCUCCUCGUGCCCAUUUCUCGGAAUCGGAUAAAAGUCAUAAAUUAUGAAUAUUCAUUCACUCACGAGUCUAACCAUACCAAAAUUACUCCAAUCUGAUACCAAAAUCUCGAUCAAAACCCCAAAAUUCGACCUAAGAACUUUUCUCAAUUUUUCCAAUUUCUCACCCAAAUUCCUUAAUUAAAUGAAAAAAACAACUAUAGAUUAAUGAAAUACAACCAAAAACGAGUUAAGAAUCAUUAUCCUAAAGCUCCCUCUGAAAUCCUCCAAAGAAUUGCCAAUUUCCGAGCUCUCAAGGUCCAAAAUGGAUAAUAAACUCAACCCCUUGCACUUAGCUCUUUUUCUGCCAGUCAAAUCGCAUCCGCAGACCUUUCCUCGCACCUGCGGAAAAUCCAUUGCAGGUACAAGAAUGACUUAAAACUCAGAGUUCGGUUCUGCAAUCAAGGGGUCGCACCUGCGUGUGUGCACAUGCAGACUUUAUCCGCUUCUGCUGUCUUUUUCCGCUCUUGCCAGUCCGCACCUGCGGUCUCCCCUCCGUAGGUGCGAUAACAUCAGGAACCAUCAACUCAACAAUUUUCCCUAAGUCCAAUUUCAAUCUGUUGAGCAUCCGAAACACACCCGAGACCCCGGGACCUCAACCAAACAUACCAACUAAUCCUAAAAUACCAUAUGAACUUAGUCGAGCCCUUAAAUCACAUCAAACAACGCUAAAAACACAAUUCAUCCUCCAAUCCAAACCUAAUGAACUUGAAACUUCCAAAUUCGACAACCGAUGCCGACACUAAAUUUUGCACAUAAGUCAUAUUUAACCCUACGGACCUAUUCCAACUUCCAGAAUCAAAAUCCGACCCCGAUAUCAAAAAUUCCACUACCGGCCCAAAACUUCAAAAAUUCGACUUUCGUCAUUUCAAGCCUAACUGAGCUACGGACCUCCAAAAUACAAUCCGGACACACCCUUAAGCCUAAAAUUACCCAACGAAACUAAUGAAAUCGACGUAAUUCCAUUCCAGAGUCGUCUUUACACUGUUCCGACUACGGUCCAAAUUCUAAUACUUAAGACUCCGUUUAGGGACUAAGUGUCUCAAGUACUUCCAAAAACUAAAAUAAAACCUUCCGAUAAGUCACAAUAGCAGAAAUAGAUACGGAAAAAGUAAUUAAUAGGGGAUCGAGACUCUAACUCUCAAAACGACCGAUCGGGUUGUUACAAUCCUAUAUAAACAUGAUACCAAGAAAAUCUUUAGUAUAACGUUAACCUCCAGGCAUGUACCAAUUGAAAGUAAUAAAGCUUUUCGUUGGCACAGAGUCCACCAUGAAGUCACGAACUAUGUCAAUGAUGAUUUCUGAAUAACUUCAUAGUACACGUUAUCUCGUAAAUACAAGCCCUUAGACAACACGUCACCAUAAAAUGAACUGGUCUAACAGAUAAAUAGAUUUACCUGUCAAAAUAGUAUUGAGAAAAAUAUACCAUAGUAGUUGUUUAUGGGAGAGAACUUCUAACAGGAACAAGAAAAAAAAAGAUAAAGUGAUUUGACACUUUAUUUUGCUUUUAUAUAGUGCAACAUAAAUGUGAAAAGGCUACAUUUAUAAUCGUUGGAAAUUCAAAAGACAAAACAAUUAAAGCAAAAAUAUGAAAAGGCCACAACGUUACUAAAAAAUAUUUUACCAAUGCAACUUCCCUAAGAGAUGAAACAAUCCUCCUUAAGUCCGAUUCAAUGUAGCCAAAAUUAUCAUUUAAUAGAAGUCAUUUUUCAUGUGAAGGACAAAUUGUUAUUUAAUUUUUGAGGGUUAUUAUUGUCGUUCAAACUUUACUUUAUGACUUCACACUUAUAAUAUAGUACUAGUAUCUAGACACACGUGUUGCACGUGUAUCCUAUAUUCAUUAGUAAAUAAUUUAAAACAUCACACAAAUAUUAAUAUAAAAAUAAAUAUUUGAGUUAUAAAAUAAAAAAUUUAAAAAUAUAAAGGAAGAAACCUUUCUCCACAAAAGUGCUUAUGUUUUAUUCCUUGAAUUUUCAUUUAAGGGUAAACUUAGAUUAUUAUUAUGCUGACCUUUCAUUUAGCUAUUUUAAACAGAUCUAAUCAAUCUCGAUUUUGAAUGCAGAGAAAUUAAAGCAAACUUUCAUUUGUUAUAUAUGAGGCGAAACUGCUACUUGGAUUGUGCAAUUAAUAAAAACAAAAAGAAACAAUAAUAAUAUAAAUUUUCUAUAGUCAUGGCAAAAUAACUAAUAAUAAACCAUAGCUACUCGGCAUCCUGAUCAUGUGCAAAGUAAAGUUAUUUCAUAGAAGAAGAAAAGUUUAUCAGAUAACUGAGUUAGCUAAUUUUUAGGUGCAAGAUUUCACCUUCAAAUGAUGUUAAAACUCAGGUCUUAGAAUCCAUAUGUAAAUCUCUUGAAAUUAUAGGUAGAAUCAUAAUCUCCUGUAUAAAUUAAAAAUAUUCUUCUAAGAUAAGAUAAAUUUACUAUGAGAUCAAACCAAUAAAGUCAUCUCAAGAUGACUAAAAAGUAGUAAAUAUAGAGUGAGUUCAAACAUCUAAAGAAAAAAAGGCUCCAAUGCAGCUAAAACAAACCACAUAAAGAAGACCUAAAACAAAAAAAAUUAUUGCACAAAUAUCUUAAAUAUAUAUUUACAUAAUCACAUUCUCAAUCAAAGCGAAUACAUGUCGAUCCAAUAACCAUCAUAUUAGCAAUAUUUUUAGUAGUAUAUCCACAUACCUCAUUAUUAAGUGGAAAUAGGUCUAAAAUCUUAAUGACCCAAGACAAAUAAUUUUUGUACAAGAAGAUAGGAGUGUAACGAUUCGAAUGGUCGUUUUGGGCAAUUGCACUUCGCUCGGUUAUUUGAGGGCAUGAGUAUAUCCGUAUGAUGUAUUAUGACAUAUGUGAAUCGUCGGUUUUGGUUUUUAGGUUAUCUGAAAUUUGAUUUUGGGAGAAUGAUUCACAGCUAGAAGCUUCAAAUUUGAAAGGUUUGACCAAGUUUUGACUUUUUAGUAUUCGAUAUCAGAUAUGAAUUUCGAUGGUUUCGUCAGCUCCGGUAGAUGUUUUUGGACUUAGAAGCAUGCCCGGAAUGUAAUUUGAAAGUCUGUGGUGGUAUUAGACUUGAAUUGGCGAAACUAGAAAUUUGGUGAUUUCUGGUCGGCACUGAAAAAUUUGAUAUCGGAGUCGGAAUGGAAUUUCGAGAGUUGGAGUAGGUUUGUAGUGUCAUUUAUGACGUGUGUGCAAAAUUUGAGGCCAUUCGGAUGAGGUUUGAUAGGUUUCGGCAUCACUUGGGAACGUUUGAGGUUUCAAGUCCAUUAAGCUUGAAUUGGUGUGUGAUUCAUGUUUUUGUUAUUGUUUGAGGUGAUUCGAGAGCUCGAUUGAGUUGGUAUGGUAUUUUAGGACUUGAUGGCAUAUUUGGUUGAGGUUUCGGAGGCCUCAGGUGUGUUUCGGGUGAGUUUUAAGCGAGUCCGGGCAUUAUCGAAACUCAGGUAUGGUUCUGGUGCUUAAUUUUCACGGACGACAGCAAAAUUUCGCUGAGGGAGGAGGUGGGGGCGCGAACUGCGUAAAUUUGGUCGCGGAGGCACUCCAGGCCAGAUCUGCAGAUUUGCGAGUCUGACUUCGGAAGCCUAUAUCUUUUGAUCUACAAGGAAUUUUGAGAUGAUUCAAAAACAGAAGUUGUAGCCCUUCGUGUUUAGUUUCCAUAAAUCAUCAUUUAGAUAUCUAUAGAGAAAGUUAUGGCCAAAAUAUUAAAACAUGUCACUGCAGCCACCAAAAGCGCGGACAAUGCUACUUUUUCGCGAUCGCAGGGGUUGGAUUUUCGCGGCCGCGCCUGGAUUUUCGCGGUCAGCGUAGUGGAGAUCAGAGAGUGAACUAUAUAAAUGGGGUUUAGGGCAUUAUUUCACAUUUUAGACCUAGGGAGCUCGGUUUGUGGCGAUUUUUCGAGGGUUUUUCAAGAAAUUCAUCGAGGUAAGUGAUUCUAACUUGGAUUUGAUUAAUAUACAUGAAUAUAUCAUUGAUUUCAUCAUUUGAUUAGUACUUUAAGGUGGAAAUUUGGGGAAAAUUGUGAAAAUUUUAUAAAAUGAAUUUUUGAGAUUUGAAUGUCGAUUUGGAGUCGGAUUUGAGUCAAACUAAUAUGGUUAGUCUCGUAAUUGAAUGGGUUGUCGGAUUUCGUGACUUUGGUCGGAUUUAGAGACGUGGGCCCGGGGCCCGAUUUUUGAGUUGACUUUUUAACUCUUGGUCUUAAGCUUAGCAUUUUUUUAUGAGAUUGAUUUCUUUAGCUCGUGUUGAUUGUAUCGAAUUAUUUAUGGCUAGAUUCGGAGCGUUCGGAGGUCGAUUUGAGGGGCAAAGGCAUCGCGGAAUAGGAUUUUGGCUUGGUUGAGGUAAGUAAUGCUUCCAAACUUGGUUUUGAAGGUUCGACACCCCGAACUAUGUGCUAUAUGAUUGUAUUGAGGUGACGCAUAUGCCAAGUGACGGGCGUACGGGCGUGCACCGUGAGAAUUGUGGCCUGGUUCAUUCCAUGGCACCGCUAGUGACUCUUUCUUGCUGAUACCAUUAUUUCUAUCAUGUGACUAAGUAAAUGUGCUGCAAAUCAUGCUAGCUAUCCUGUUAGGACUUCACGUCGAUACUGAUGAGACCCGAGUGGUCGUUUCUUGCUGUCAUAUCACUAGAUUCAUUGAUGUUAUGUACUCAGUCUUACUCAUGCAGAUCAUAUCAUGUCUCAGUCUCAGUUGUUAUUAUUUGAUGCAUCAUAUCAUCGUUCCGGGCUAGUUUUCAUGGCAUUGUGAGCCCGUGAGUGAGACUGGAGAGUGGUGACUGAGAGAGGCCGAGAGCCUGAAUAAUGAGUGACAGUUAUGGGUCGGGCUGCACGCCACAGCGGAUUAUUGAUUAUGCCUUCGUUGGCAUGUUAUAGUGCUUGGGACGUAGGAUACCCUCUGGAGUCUGCACACUCAUAGUAGGCGCGGAUAAUAUUAUUGAGGGAUGGAUUUUUCUUAACAUGGAUUUGUCCGAAGUAUUAAUAUAUGGAGAUGGAUUUCUCCAUAGAGAUGGAUUUCCAUGGACAUGGAUUUGUCCGAAGUAUUGAUAUAUGAAGAUAGAUUUCUCCACAAGGAUGGAUUUUCCUUUUUUUCUCGGUACCGAGGACGUCUAGUCAUUGUUGAGUAUGUUCCGGGAUAGAUUUCCCUAGGUCGGAUGCCAUAUGCGGUACCGAGUGGUUGAGUGUGUAUACAUAUAUACAUGUAGAUGGAUUUCUCCUCAGGGUUGGAUUACCCUUGUUCCUCGGUACUGGAUGACUUGUUGUCAGCGUUGUAUAUGUUCUGGGAUGGAUUUCCUUCGAUCGGAUGGCCAUAUGCAGUACCGAGUGGUUGAGCACUUGAGAGUGGGAGCACAUGGUGCAUUUCAUACAUUUUGUGCAUUGGUAUGCAGAGUUACCUGAGCCUUAUAUUCCACUGUUGAACUGUAUUCCUGAAAGAAUAUCAUGCCUACUUUACUGCACAACUUAUUUCUAUUCUCUAUUGAGGUUACGUUCGUCACUACCUAUCAGUCCAUAGGUUGUACUUGUUACUUACUGAGUUGGUGUACUCACGUUACCUCCUGCACCUUGUGUGCAGAUCCUGGUGCUUUCGGAUCCAGUGGCAGUCACUGAUCAAGGUUGCAAGCUUGGGAGAUUGUUGAGGUAUCUGCAUGACGUUCGCAAAUCUUGACCCUCCCUUUCUAUUCUAGUUGUGUUUCAGUUGUAUUCAGAAAAUAUUGUAGUAGACUAUGUUAAUUCUCUAGACGCUCAUGUACUCCG
RNAcentral lists this long non-coding RNA (18564 nucleotides) under Nicotiana tabacum (common tobacco). RNAcentral describes it as "long non-coding RNA (NTAB_LNC010870)". The record is from RNAcentral. Lineage: Eukaryota; Viridiplantae; Streptophyta; Magnoliopsida; Solanales; Solanaceae.